ACAGCACCUUCCUCCACCUGGACACCCAGGGCUGCUACCCAGGGCUCUGCCCAGGUGAGAGCUGCGAGGCCCAAGACACUGUAUUCACCCUGGACUGUGCCAACCAGUGCCCACGCAGCUGUGCCGACCUCUGGGACCGCGUUCAGUGCCUGCAGGGACCCUGCCGCCCAGCACCUGUGUCAACGGGUCCCUGGUGUGCCCACACCAGGAGUGUCCAGUCCUUGGGCCUUGGUCAGCCUGGAGCAGUUGCUCGGCCCCCUGUGGUGGGGGCCCUAUGGAGCGACAUCGGACCUGCGAGGGGGGUCCUGGGGUGGCACCAUGCCAGGCCCAGGACACAGAGCAACGGCAGGAGUGUAACCUGCAGCCCUGCCCUGAGUGCCCCCCUGGGGAAAUGUGGCAGCAGGUGGCCCCGGGGAGCUGGGGCUCUGCGAGCAGACGUGCCUGGAGAUGAAUGCCACAGAGACCCAGAGUAACUGCAGUUCAGCUCGAGCCUCGGG
Molecule: small RNA, 497 nt
Filed under: Pan troglodytes (chimpanzee)
Lineage: Eukaryota; Metazoa; Chordata; Mammalia; Primates; Hominidae
Description: processed transcript
Source: RNAcentral